Molecule: ribosomal RNA, 254 nt
Filed under: uncultured bacterium
Lineage: Bacteria
Description: partial 16S ribosomal RNA
Rfam family: Bacterial small subunit ribosomal RNA
Source: RNAcentral
UACGGAGGAUCCAAGCGUUAUCCGGAUUUAUUGGGUUUAAAGGGUGCGUAGGCGGCCAAUUAAGUCAGGGGUGAAAGACGGUAGCUUAACUAUCGCAGUGCCUUUGAUACUGAUUGGCUUGAAUGUACUUGAGGUAGGCGGAAUGUGACAAGUAGCGGUGAAAUGCAUAGAUAUGUCACAGAACACCAAUUGCGAAGGCAGCUUACUAAAGUAUGAUUGACGCUGAGGCACGAAAGCGUGGGGGAUCAAACAGG